This 492-nucleotide ribosomal RNA is filed under the name Triticum aestivum (bread wheat). Its description in RNAcentral is "partial small subunit ribosomal RNA". Lineage: Eukaryota; Viridiplantae; Streptophyta; Magnoliopsida; Poales; Poaceae. The record is from RNAcentral.
AUGGCUAUGAUGGGCAUCAUCAAGACCGACAUAGCGCCGGAGACGGCGUACGAGACGGAGCCCAUGUCUCAGGCUACAGCCAGCUCCGCCGCGGCGGGCGCGCGGUACCGCAGGGGUUUGCUCUCGAGGAUGAUGCCGCGGGGGCACUACUCGUCCGUCGGCGCCGAGAACGGAAGGGCGCCCGAGGCGGCACCGAUGCCCCCGGCCGCUGCCGAUGGCUCGGAGGUCGCGGAGAAGCCGCGGCGCGGCUGGCUGCGGCGGCUGAUACCGCAGCAGCGGCGGCGCUGGAAGAAUCUGGGCGGCGCCAGCGCGUCGAGGCUGGCCGGACUGUCGCGAUCGCUGCGGUGGAAGCGGCUGUCCGUGAACCUGAGGGGCAGCUGGGCGUCGGCGCUGCUGGACACCGUCGCGUUCCGCGUGAUGUACGUGGUGGAAGCCAUCGUGCUUGGCCUCGCGCUCUCCUGCUUCUUCUGCUGCUGCGGCUGCCAGAUAUAG